CACUUCGGUGCUGUGGUGGUACCAGAAC
RNAcentral lists this non-coding RNA (28 nucleotides) under Tetraselmis astigmatica. Lineage: Eukaryota; Viridiplantae; Chlorophyta; Chlorodendrophyceae; Chlorodendrales; Chlorodendraceae. The record is from RNAcentral.